ACUCGAAUUUUUAUGUUUGAUUUGAAGUCAUUCUGGUUGUUUUUGUUAACAAGUCGGGUU
RNAcentral lists this transfer RNA (60 nucleotides) under Echinococcus vogeli. RNAcentral's name for it is "tRNA-Ser". Lineage: Eukaryota; Metazoa; Platyhelminthes; Cestoda; Cyclophyllidea; Taeniidae. The record is from RNAcentral.